GACGAACGCUGGCGGCGCGCCUAACACAUGCAAGUCGAACGGACUUAAGGAGCUUGCUUCUUAAGUUAGUGGCGGACGGGUGAGUAACACGUGAGCAACCUGCCUUUCAGUGGGGGACAACAGUUGGAAACGACUGCUAAUACCGCAUAACAUCAUCGAGUGGCAUCACUUGAUGAUCAAAGAUUUAUUGCUGAAAGAUGGGCUCGCGUCUGAUUAGAUAGUUGGUGAGGUAACGGCCCACCAAGUCGACGAUCAGUAGCCGGACUGAGAGGUUGAACGGCCACAUUGGGACUGAGACACGGCCCAGACUCCUACGGGAGGCAGCAGUGGGGGAUAUUGGACAAUGGGGGGAACCCUGAUCCAGCGACGCCGCGUGAGGGAAGAAGGUUUUCGGAUUGUAAACCUCUGUUGACAGGGAAGAAAAUGACGGUACCUGUUUAGAAAGCCACGGCUAACUACGUGCCAGCAGCCGCGGUAAUACGUAGGUGGCAAGCGUUGUCCGGAAUUACUGGGUGUAAAGGGAGCGUAGGCGGGGCGGCAAGUCAGAAGUGAAAAUUAUGGGCUCAACUCAUAACCUGCUUUUGAAACUGUUGCUCUUGAGUGAAGUAGAGGCAAGCGGAAUUCCCAGUGUAGCGGUGAAAAUGCGUAGAUAUUGGGAGGAACACCAGUGGCGAAGGCGGCUUGCUGGGCUUUUACUGACGCUGAGGCUCGAAAGCGUGGGGAGCAAACAGGAUUAGAUACCCUGGUAGUCCACGCUGUAAACGAUGAUUACUAGGUGUGGGGGGGAUUGACCCCUUCCGUGCCGCAGUUAACACAAUAAGUAAUCCACCUGGGGAGUACGACCGCAAGGUUGAAACUCAAAGGAAUUGACGGGGGCCCGCACAAGCAGUGGAGUAUGUGGAUUAAUUCGAAGCAACGCGAAGAACCUUACCGGGUCUUGACAUCGAGUGACCGGCUCAGAGAUGAGCCUUUCUCUUCGGAGACACGAAGACAGGUGGUGCAUGGUUGUCGUCAGCUCGUGUCGUGAGAUGUUGGGUUAAGUCCCGCAACGAGCGCAACCCUUAUGAUUAGUUGCUACGCAAGAGCACUCUAAUCAGACUGCCGCUGACAAAACGGAGGAAGGUGGGGAUGACGUCAAAUCAUCAUGCCCUUUAUGACCCGGGCCUCACACGUACUACAAUGGCGUUUAACAAAGAGAAGCAAAGCCGCGAGGCAGAGCAAAUCUCGAAAAAACGUCUCAGUUCAGAUUGCAGGCUGCAACUCGCCUGCAUGAAGUCGGAAUUGCUAGUAAUCGCGGAUCAGCAUGCCGCGGUGAAUACGUUCCCGGGCCUUGUACACACCGCCCGUCAAACCAUGAGAGUUGGCAACACCCGAAGCCGAUAGCCUAACCGCAAGGAGGGCGUCGUCGAAGGUGGGGUCGAUGAUUGGGGU
Molecule: ribosomal RNA, 1431 nt
Filed under: uncultured rumen bacterium
Lineage: Bacteria
Description: bacterial SSU rRNA
Rfam family: Bacterial small subunit ribosomal RNA
Source: RNAcentral